UACGGAGGGUGCAAGCGUUAAUCGGAAUUACUGGGCGUAAAGCGCACGUAGGCGGUUUUGUAAGUCGGAUGUGAAAGCCCUGGGCUUAACCUGGGAAUUGCAUCCGAUACUGUAUGACUAGAGUAUGCUAGAGGGAAGUGGAAUUCCGGGUGUAGCGGUGAAAUGCGUAGAUAUCCGGAGGAACAUCAAUGGCGAAGGCAACUUCCUGGGGCAAUACUGACGCUGAGGUGCGAAAGCGUGGGGAGCAAACAGG
This 253-nucleotide unclassified non-coding RNA is filed under the name uncultured Gammaproteobacteria bacterium. RNAcentral describes it as "contains 16S-23S intergenic spacer region". It matches the Rfam family "Bacterial small subunit ribosomal RNA", at positions 524 to 776 of the family's 1533-position model. Lineage: Bacteria; Pseudomonadati; Pseudomonadota; Gammaproteobacteria. The record is from RNAcentral.